UGGGGAAUAUUGGACAAUGGGCGAAAGCCUGAUCCAGCCAUGCCGCGUGUGUGAAGAAGGUCUUCGGAUUGUAAAGCACUUUAAGUUGGGAGGAAGGGCAGUAAGCGAAUACCUUGCUGUUUUGACGUUACCGACAGAAUAAGCACCGGCUAACUCUGUGCCAGCAGCCGCGGUAAUACAGAGGGUGCAAGCGUUAAUCGGAAUUACUGGGCGUAAAGCGCGCGUAGGUGGUUCGUUAAGUUGAAUGUGAAAGCCCCGGGCUCAACCUGGGAACUGCAUCCAAAACUGGCGAGCUAGAGGAGGGCAGAGGGUGGUGGAAGUGCAUGUGUAGCGGUGAAAUGCGUAGAUAAAGGAAGGAACACCAGUGGCGAAGGCGACCACCUGGGCUCAUACUGACACUGAGGUGCGAAAGCGUGGGGAGCAAACAGG
This 429-nucleotide ribosomal RNA is filed under the name Pseudomonadota bacterium. Its description in RNAcentral is "Proteobacteria bacterium partial 16S ribosomal RNA". It matches the Rfam family "Bacterial small subunit ribosomal RNA", at positions 355 to 776 of the family's 1533-position model. Lineage: Bacteria; Pseudomonadati; Pseudomonadota. The record is from RNAcentral.